This 253-nucleotide ribosomal RNA is filed under the name uncultured bacterium. RNAcentral's name for it is "partial 16S ribosomal RNA". It matches the Rfam family "Bacterial small subunit ribosomal RNA", at positions 524 to 776 of the family's 1533-position model. The record is from RNAcentral.
UACGUAGGGGGCUAGCGUUGUCCGGAAUCAUUGGGCGUAAAGCGCGCGUAGGCGGCCCGGUAAGUCCGCUGUGAAAGUCAAAGGCUCAACCUUUGAAUGUCAGCGGAUACUGCCGGGCUAGAGUCCGGAAGAGGCAAGUGGAAUUCCCGGUGUAGCGGUGAAAUGCGCAGAUAUCGGGAGGAACACCAAUGGCGAAGGCAGCUUGCUGGGACGGUACUGACGCUGAGGCGCGAAAGCGUGGGGAGCAAACAGG